AGUGGCGUAGCUCAACCGGAUAGAGCACCUCGUUUUCAAGGCAUUGGAAGUGUCACGACAUUCAAUGUACAGCGAGGAGGUUGCAGGUUCAACUCCUGUCGCCAUCCCCU
RNAcentral lists this transfer RNA (110 nucleotides) under Alphaproteobacteria bacterium. RNAcentral describes it as "tRNA-Glu". It matches the Rfam family "tRNA". From Rfam's summary of the family: Transfer RNA (tRNA) molecules are approximately 80 nucleotides in length. Lineage: Bacteria; Pseudomonadati; Pseudomonadota; Alphaproteobacteria. The record is from RNAcentral.